UCACAGCAUUAAUGUACAGAUCAUAUGUGAUGCUGCCAACAUUAUCACAAAUGUGGAAGCCAAGUGGCCAGGCUCUGUUCAUGACUCACGAAUUUUUUGUGAAUGUACACUGAGCACAAAAUUUGGACAUGGAGAGUUCACUGGCUACUUGCUUGGUGAUAGGGGGUAUCCAUGUUUACCCUAUUUGCUUACCCCUUACCCUGACCCUGAACCGGGCCCACAGCAGCGAUAUAAUCUGGCUCAUUGCAGGACAAGAGCCAGAGUUGAAAUGACU
Long non-coding RNA from Oreochromis niloticus (Nile tilapia), 274 nucleotides. RefSeq lists it as uncharacterized. The record is from RefSeq and is a predicted model, not a curated record. NCBI's taxonomy places the organism in Eukaryota, Metazoa, Chordata, Actinopteri, Cichliformes, Cichlidae. The transcript has 3 exons.